RNAcentral lists this transfer RNA (72 nucleotides) under Camelus bactrianus (Bactrian camel). It matches the Rfam family "tRNA". Rfam says of the family: Transfer RNA (tRNA) molecules are approximately 80 nucleotides in length. Lineage: Eukaryota; Metazoa; Chordata; Mammalia; Artiodactyla; Camelidae. RNAcentral also lists the same sequence under 1 other name. The record is from Rfam by way of RNAcentral.
GUAGGUAUAGCUCAGUGGUAAAGCACAUGUUUAGCAUGCAUGAGGUCCUGGGUUCAACCCCCAAUACCUCCA